RNAcentral lists this long non-coding RNA (571 nucleotides) under Panax ginseng (ginseng). RNAcentral's name for it is "long non-coding RNA (PGIN_LNC014038)". The record is from RNAcentral. Lineage: Eukaryota; Viridiplantae; Streptophyta; Magnoliopsida; Apiales; Araliaceae.
UCCCAAGUACGUAACCUUUAGUCAUUCAUUACAUGAUAUUAAAUAAAUAGAUAUCAUAGUCUUCAUAGUCUUAUAAAACUAUUACAAAUACUGCCGUAAUUCUUAUUUGGUUAGCUUUCCUUUUCCUUUGUCUCGGCCUGAACUUUCUGGUCCUUCACACUUAGCUGAAAACAUUUAAAUUAAGCAAGGAUGAGCAUUUGAGUGCCCAGCAAGUAUUAUAUAUAUAUAUAGGCUGAAAGAAUUUAAAUGUUUUCUUUAUAAUAUCUUCUACAACUAGUCAGUAGUUGUGAAGUAAUCUGUACCAAUAAUAAUUCAUAACAACCCUCUUUCAAACUUUUGAAACUACGUAUUGACUGUAUAUGGGGUUUCUGUGACAUACCAUGAACAUUGUUUUUCAUUUUCGAAAAGGUUUAAACAGAAAUUCAUCUGUAAACCGUCAUGACUUACGGGUACGGAGGGUGAUCAGCCCUGUUGUACCCUGUAUUGAUCAAUACUACAUGUACAUGAACGAUGUUAUCGUUCGCUCUGUCCGCCUUGGGCGCAUAAAAUUUUCCCUUUAUCGGGAUGUUCA